This 433-nucleotide ribosomal RNA is filed under the name uncultured bacterium. RNAcentral describes it as "partial 16S ribosomal RNA". It matches the Rfam family "Bacterial small subunit ribosomal RNA", at positions 29 to 507 of the family's 1533-position model. The record is from RNAcentral.
AACGAACGCUGGCGGCAUGCCUAACACAUGCAAGUCGAACGAGACCUUCGGGUCUAGUGGCGCACGGGUGCGUAACGCGUGGGAACCUUCCCUUAGGUUCGGAAUAACUCCCCGAAAGGGGUGCUAAUACCGGAUAAUGUCUUCGGACCAAAGAUUUAUCGCCUUUGGAUGGGCCCGCGUUGGAUUAGCUAGUUGGUAGGGUAAAAGCCUACCAAGGCGACGAUCCAUAGCUGGUCUGAGAGGAUGAUCAGCCACACUGGGACUGAGACACGGCCCAGACUCCUACGGGAGGCAGCAGUGGGGAAUAUUGGACAAUGGGCGAAAGCAUGAUCCAGCAAGGCCGCGUGAGUGAUGAAGGCCUUAGGGUUGUAAAGCUCUUUUAACCGGGAUGAUAAUGACAGUACCGGGAGAAUAAGCUCCGGCUAACUCCGUG